This 484-nucleotide ribosomal RNA is filed under the name uncultured bacterium. RNAcentral describes it as "partial 16S ribosomal RNA". It matches the Rfam family "Bacterial small subunit ribosomal RNA", at positions 30 to 507 of the family's 1533-position model. The record is from RNAcentral.
AGUGAACGCUGGCGGCAGGCCUAACACAUGCAAGUCGAGCGGCAGCGCGGGGGCAACCCUGGCGGCGAGCGGCGGACGGGUGAGGAAUUCGUCGGAAUCUGCCUUUUUGUGGGGGAUAACGUAGGGAAACUUACGCUAAUACCGCAUACGUCCUACGGGAGAAAGUGGGGGACCGCAAGGCCUCACGCAGAAAGAUGAGCCGACGACCGAUUAGCUAGUUGGUGGGGUAAAGGCCCACCAAGGCGACGAUCGGUAGCUGGUCUGAGAGGAUGAUCAGCCACAGUGGGGCUGAGACGCGGCAGAGCGACUUAGUGACGGCAGCGGUGGGUAAGGGGGGACUAUGGGGGGAAGACGGAACGAUCGGCGCCACGUGGAUGGAGCAGGGCCGCGGGUGGUAAGGCGGUAUUGUGGGGGUAGAAAGCUCUGGAGAGAAAAGCUGCGGGGGAUGACGGUACCUGAAGAAGAAGCACCGGCUAACUACGUG